UGAGCAACCUGCCCUUGACCCUGGAAUAACAGCUGGAAACAGCUGCUAAUACCGGAUAUGACCUCCGAUGGCAUCAUCUGGAGGUGGAAAGCUCCGACGGUCAAGGAUGGGCUCGCGGCCUAUCAACUUGUUGGUGAGGUAACGGCUCACCAAGGCUUCGACGGGUAGCCGGCCUGAGAGGGCGACCGGCCACACUGGGACUGAGAUACGGCCCAGACUCCGUAGGAGG
This 229-nucleotide ribosomal RNA is filed under the name uncultured bacterium. RNAcentral's name for it is "partial 16S ribosomal RNA". It matches the Rfam family "Bacterial small subunit ribosomal RNA", at positions 118 to 348 of the family's 1533-position model. The record is from RNAcentral.